Molecule: ribosomal RNA, 505 nt
Filed under: uncultured Glomus
Lineage: Eukaryota; Fungi; Glomeromycota; Glomeromycetes; Glomerales; Glomeraceae
Description: SSU rRNA
Rfam family: Eukaryotic small subunit ribosomal RNA
Source: RNAcentral
AGCAGCCGCGGUAAUUCCAGCUCCAAUAGCGUAUAUUAAAGUUGUUGCAGUUAAAAAGCUCGUAGUUGAAUUUCGGGGUCAGUAGGUUGGUCAUGCCACUGGUAUGUACUGGCCUCACUGAUUCCUCCUUCCUGAUGAGCCGUAAUGCCAUUAAUUUGGUGUUGCGAGGAAUCUGGACUGUUACUUUGAAAAAAUUAGAGUGUUUAAAGCAGGCUAACGCUUGAAUACAUUAGCAUGGAAUAAUGAAAUAGGACGUUCGAUCUUAUUUUGUUGGUUUCUAAGAUUGACGUAAUGAUUAAUAGGGAUAGUUGGGGGCAUUAGUAUUCAAUUGUCAGAGGUGAAAUUCUUGGAUUUAUUGAAGACUAACUACUGCGAAAGCAUUUGCCAAGGAUGUUUUCAUUAAUCAAGAACGAAAGUUAGGGGAUCGAAGACGAUCAGAUACCGUCGUAGUCUUAACCAUAAACUAUGCCGACUAGAGAUCGGAUGAUGUUAAUUUUUAAUGACU